This is an RNA transcript of Panicum hallii, 2542 nucleotides long. It is a transcript of the gene named CBL-interacting protein kinase 19, with no coding region annotated. The transcript has 3 exons. Lineage: Eukaryota; Viridiplantae; Streptophyta; Magnoliopsida; Poales; Poaceae. The record is from RefSeq and is a predicted model, not a curated record.
CACGUCCAGCGCAUCGCCGCGCACAGGGCGAACAGAAAAGAGAGAAACUAUUCGGGAGCCGUUGGCUGUUCCCCCUCCAAUGCCGGUCACCCAUCACCUUCCCCUCCCGCCCGCGCCCUCGCCCUCGCGUCCUCGCCACCGCCUAAUCGGCUGACCCGCCCGCCUUCUCCUCCGCUCCCCCGCGCGCCCGGCCACCCUCCGCCACCCCGAUGGCCGCCACCCCGCCGUCGUCGCGGGACCCAUCGCCGCAGCGCCGGCGGCCAGCCUCCUCCGCGGGGCCCCCCAAGCGCGGGGGCCUCCUGCUCGGCCGCUACGAGCUGGGCCGCCUCCUCGGCCACGGCACCUUCGCCAAGGUCUACCACGCCCGCCACGCCGACACCGGCGAGACCGUCGCCAUCAAGGUGCUCGACAAGGAGAAGGCCCUCCGCAACGGCCUCGUCCCGCACAUCAAGCGCGAGAUCGCCAUCCUCCGCCGCGUGCGCCACCCCAACAUCGUCCGACUCUACGAGGUCAUGGCCACCAAGUCCAAGAUCUACUUCGUCAUGGAGUACGUCCGCGGCGGGGAGCUCUUCGCGCGCGUCGCCAAGGGCCGCCUCAAGGAGGACAUCGCGCGCAGGUACUUCCAGCAGCUCAUCUCCGCCGUGGGCUUCUGCCACGCACGGGGCGUCUUCCACCGCGACCUCAAGCCCGAGAACCUCCUCGUUGACGAGCGCGGCGACCUCAAGGUCUCCGAUUUCGGACUCUCGGCCGUCGCCGACCAGUUCCACACCGACGGGCUUCUCCACACCUUCUGCGGCACGCCCUCCUACGUCGCGCCGGAGGUGCUCGCGCGCCGCGGCUACGACGGAGCCAAGGCGGACAUAUGGUCGUGCGGUGUCAUCCUCUUCGUGCUCAUGGCAGGCUACCUUCCUUUCCACGACCAGAACCUCAUGGCGAUGUAUCGUAAGAUUUACAGGGGGGAAUUCCGGUGCCCGAGGUGGUUCUCCAGGGAUCUUACCAGUCUCUUGAAUCGUGUGCUUGACACGAACCCAGAGACGAGGAUUACCGUGGCUGAGAUCAUGGAGAGCAGAUGGUUUCUGAAGGGGUUCCGACCGGUCAGGUUCUAUGUCGAGGAUGACCAGGUGCACAGUUUGGCAGACGAUGAGAAUGAGGUGCCGGACCUGGGGCCUAGUCAGCCUCCUCCUCAGCCACCUCCACCACAGCAAGAGGACGACGGUGAUGACUCUGGGUGGGAAUCAGACUCGUCCGUAGCAUCCUGCCCAGCCACAUUGUCAUCGGAGGAGAGAAGACGGCCCCUUGGAUCUCUCACACGGCCAGUAAGUCUAAAUGCGUUUGAUAUCAUAUCAUUCUCAAGAGGAUUCAAUUUGUCGGGGUUGUUUGAGGAGCGCGGCAACGAAGUGAGGUUUGUCUCAGCACAACCCAUGCAAACGAUUGUAACAAAAUUGGAGGAGAUUGCAAAGGUGAAGAGCUUUGCAAUUCGGCGGAAGGACUGGCGGGUGAGUCUGGAAGGCACAAGGGAAAGUGAGAAGGGUCCAUUGACAAUUGCGGCCGAGGUAUUUGAGCUCACACCAAAACUUGUGGUGGUGGAGGUGAAGAUGAAGGCAGGGGACAGGGAAGAGUAUGAGGACUUCUGUGAGAGGGAGUUGAAACCUGGGAUGCAGCACCUUGUGCACCAUACAGCCUCCGUUCCAGAUAUACCUUCUGAUACUGAGUAGCUUGUCAGGACAGCUACAGGUCAAAGAUGCAUAUGUACACAACAAUAAGUUUCCCAAAUGCUGUAAGAUUUUCAUUUCGUUUUUUGUAUGUUAUAUUUUGUUUCCCUAUCUAAGGUUGCAGGUUAUUUUUUCCAUGAAGCUCAGUGGGAGGCUUCAUUCUUUUCCCUCAUUGAUUCAUUACAUUGUUUGUAAUGCACCGCCAAAAGUCAAGCCAUCUGUCACUUUAGGUACUCGCAGAGGACUCGGAGCCUGCUGUUACAGAGUACAAGCACGGGCAAAUGCAUAAAACACAAGCAUGCGCAAAGUCAAGUGCAUAUGCCAGUACAACAUCGAAGUUGUUUUGUUGCAGCCUGCUUUAUGCUGAUUUGAAGCAGACUAAUGUGCGGUAUUAUUUGUGUCCUCCAGGCUUGUAUUGGUUAAACAAACAACGUCUCAACUUGAAACUAGCAGCGCCUGCUGGCUCAACGUGUCGUUAAAUAUACUGAACUAAGUUUGCUUCCUCCAGAAGUCUGCUGACAGAAACAUUCAGCAGCAGGUUUCUGAACGAUUUCAAGGUUCAUUGGUCAGUUUUCUCGAGCAGUUGAGUCCACCCACUGAAGCUGCUGUCGCAGUUUUCUUCCUGUUUGCUAUCUGUGUAGAACUUUCAGAACCUUGAACGGUACCCACAGUGCUGCUGGCUGCUGCAAGGAAGAUAUUUUAGGCUGUAGGGACUUAUGUUCUUCCUGAGAAGGGCCAAGCAACCCUGUGGCCAAGGAAGGUCGCAGCUGAUGAUCGAGAAUGGAGAAAAGGCGCAGUACUGUUGCUGUAUACAGGGUUUAGUAGAAAAA